This 716-nucleotide long non-coding RNA is filed under the name Capra hircus (goat). Its description in RNAcentral is "lncRNA (ENSCHIG00000001266.1)". Lineage: Eukaryota; Metazoa; Chordata; Mammalia; Artiodactyla; Bovidae. The record is from RNAcentral.
CAAGAACACUGGGGUGGGUAGACAUUCCCUUCUCCAGGAUAUCUUCUCAACCCAGGGACUGAACCAAGGUCUCCUGCAUUGCAGACAGGUUCUUUACCAUCUGAGCCACACGGAAGCCCAAAGGCUCAAUAAUGUUAGGUAAAUAAUGCUAAGUCCUUAAUAUGGGUUAAUUUAUUAAUCUAAACAAUAGGCUAAGCAACAUUAAUCUGUCUCAUUUUGUAGAUGAGGAACAAGGAUUAGAGCAACUAAUCAAUUUCAUCAAGAUCACAGAGAUCUUAAGUGACAGAAUCAAGACUCAUAUGACCUUCUUGACAAUGAAGCCAGCACGAUGUCUCCUCUCAAGGGAAAAUAAACUGAACAGAAAAGUCCUGUAGAAUCUACCUGCCCCAAUGAAGAUAUUGAGUUGCUUUUACAACUUUAAUUACUAAAAAAGAAAAAAAUUCAACACUGAGAAAUGUUACAAUUUUUUAAAAAAAUGAUUGGUUCUUAUGAGAUGAAAUGAUGCUGCAUAACCAAGACCCAAAAUUUGAUUCUCAUCUAUGGUGACAGAACAGAUCUGGUCCAUGGGCCACAGUUUGCUGACCCCUGCUCUAGCUGUUUAGCAGGUAGGCCAGUGACAUCCAAUAGGAAUAAGAUGCGAGGCACAAAGGUGAGCUACAUUUAUAGUUUUAAAUGUUCUGGUAGACAUGUUUUAAAAAGUAAAAAAGCAUCAGGUG